Vicugna pacos (alpaca) is the source of this 1716-nucleotide non-coding RNA. The record is from RefSeq and is a predicted model, not a curated record. Lineage: Eukaryota; Metazoa; Chordata; Mammalia; Artiodactyla; Camelidae.
GGGGUAAACGGUCCUUGGGAGUGGGAGGUGAGGAUUGAGCUCAAGAGAGCUAGACACUAGAUAGAACUGAGAUACAAUUUCUUGUUCCAUCUAAGUGUUGGUAAAGACUUACUCGUGGGAUAUUUGAAGGAUAGAGCAUGAAAUUAUUUCCCAGUUCUCUGCUUUGAGGUGAAAUGCCAGCCUAAUUCAGAGGUUCAGUCCAUAUUUGCCCUUGUUUUUUUCCCUUCUCUUUAAGAAAUUAAAGCAUAACUUUUCAUAGUGUCAUAGUAACAUAAAAAGAUGAACAGUGAUGCCAUCAGCCAUUAUAGCUGAUGGAGAGGUAGCUGUUGUGACCUCCCACCAAUGGCUCAGAAAUGAAUGAAGUUAAACAAGAACAGAACUAUUUGAGAGGGUGAAGGUUAGAAUCCUUGUAUGUAUGAAUUUUCACAGCUGGUACAAUGCUGAUAAAAUGUUUUCAUCCUUCCUGCCAAGGAAAGAGUAGAGCUCAGCCCCCUUUGCUCUGGAUACGCAGCUCCAAAGAAAUGUCGUGGAGCUUCAUAAUCAUGAUUUCAAAGAGUUCUAAACCAGAAUCAAGAAGAUGGACAGAAAAAGAAAAAAAAAAAAAAAAAAAGAAAGAAACCAGCAGCAGCAGCUGGGUGGGAUAUGGUCACGGUUAUCAACACCCAAUCAAGAGUUAAGUAGACCUGGGUUGUCCUUCUCUGGGGUUAUUUGCUGAGAUCUGACCACCCUGUUCACCUGCUCUUCCUCAGCAUCCCUGUGUAAAAAGCAAGUGUCAUCCCAUCAAGACUUCCGUUGGCAAGUCCCCACCGGUAAAAUAGACCCUUUGGCGAUGUCGAGAGCUGGAAAGAAGCGUGGUAGUUAGGGUGACUUUGCCCCAAAUGAUCAUCGGCAAACGGAGCUGAGCAGCAGAGUUCCUGAAUCUUAGGGAAUGCCCUUGGCUGACAUAGAAAGGACUCCCAUUCUUUUUCGAGUUGGGAGAGGAGCUGCCCAUGGAAAAGACAGGUUCUGCUGCUAGAAUCAGUGAGCAAACGGAGGAGUUUCAUGUGCAGGUCCUUUGGUACGAAGUACUUUUCUGACAUGAGAGAUUUUUCUGGCAAAAAUGCCUGCUCAGCGUUCAUUUCCUUUGGCGUGUUUCCUAACAACUGUCUACCUUUCACUGAUUGCUCUUAAAUAAGAGUACUAAAAAAUAAAGAAAUAAAAAUCUUGACAUUUUGAUCAAGAUUCUGCUUAAAUCUUAAAACAAAUGACCCUUGAUGAUUUUCAAGUAGAUGUUUUCAUGGUUUCUGUUUUGUUUUAAAUGAAAUUUGAUAACAAAUACAGGUAAGAGAGACAUGAUAUCAGAGCUUCUAAUUAAAUUUCACUUUCUCAGUCCGUGGGAAGACCAAAAUUAAAGCUCAUAGAAUUUUGCAUCAUAUCAAAUUGACUGGUUUCAGUUAAUGAGAAAUAUCUAUGUAAUAUUUAUGCCAGAAGUUAUCCAAGCUUUCAAGACACCUUUAAAAUGUGCUAAUUUGGAAUUUGAUGUAUUAAUGUGCUCAUUUGACAGCUUUCUUUAAAAAAAAAAGAAAUUAAGUAAUUAGGUUUGCUGUUAUAUUUAAAUAUACUUUCCAGUAUGUCCUUAUGGGGUGCCUUCUUUAAAUAUAUCUCUAAAAAUGCAACAAAAGUAAAAAUACAUUGUAGAUGAAGAAAAAUAGAGUAGUACCCCCAAUCCCCUUUCUA